Molecule: long non-coding RNA, 289 nt
Filed under: Panax ginseng (ginseng)
Lineage: Eukaryota; Viridiplantae; Streptophyta; Magnoliopsida; Apiales; Araliaceae
Description: long non-coding RNA (PGIN_LNC002910)
Source: RNAcentral
CCACCAGUACCAGCCUUCACUGCGAUAUAAAAAUAAAUCUGUAUACCAUUUUAUACUCUUAAUGGAAUAUUUGAAAAAAAGAAGUUUGUAAAUAUCUUAUUUCAUUUAUGAAUUUCUAGAUCUGGCUUGAAAAAAUUCCGAAGAGAGUCAAGUAGUGCAUCAAGUAUCACAUGCUGUAUUUUAUCCCUCUACCAAAUUGAAUAAAUCACUGUAUGUCUUGGGCACCUUGAUAAAGCCACAACAAGCAGCUACAUGACGUUACUGACUUACUGUAUCAGAUAGUUCUGGG